RNAcentral lists this ribosomal RNA (421 nucleotides) under uncultured bacterium. RNAcentral describes it as "bacterial SSU rRNA". It matches the Rfam family "Bacterial small subunit ribosomal RNA", at positions 355 to 774 of the family's 1533-position model. The record is from RNAcentral.
UAGGGAAUCAUCGGCAAUGGGGGAAACCCUGACCGUGCAAUGCCGCGUGAGUGAUGAAGGCCUUCGGGUUGUAAAACUCUGUUGCGAAGGAAGAACAACCUAGAUAGAAUCUAGGUCUGACGGUACUUCGCCAGAAAGCCAUGGCUAACUACGUGCCAGCAGCCGCGGUAAUACGUAGAUGGCGAGCGUUAUCCGGAUUUAUUGGGCGUAAAGGGUGCUCAGCUGGUUUGUUAAGUCUGUAGUUAAAAUUCGAAGCUCAACUUCGAAGUGCUAUGGAAACUGAUAAACUUGAGUGCAGAAGAGGGUAGUGGAAUUCCAUGUGAAGCGGUAAAAUGCGUAGAUAUAUGGAGGAACACCAGUGGCGAAGGCGGCUACCUGGUCUGCAACUGACGGUCAAGCACGAAAGCGUGGGGAGCAAAUA